RNAcentral lists this ribosomal RNA (254 nucleotides) under uncultured bacterium. Its description in RNAcentral is "partial 16S ribosomal RNA". It matches the Rfam family "Bacterial small subunit ribosomal RNA", at positions 524 to 775 of the family's 1533-position model. The record is from RNAcentral.
UACGGAGGGUGCGGAGCGUUGUCCGGAAUCAUUGGGCGUAAAGGGCGCGUAGGUGGCCCGGUCAGUUCGUGGUGAAAGCGCGGGGCUCAACCCUGCGUCGGCCAUGAAUACUGCCGCGGCUGGAGCACUGUAGAGGCAGGCGGAAUUCCGGGUGUAGCGGUGGAAUGCGUAGAGAUCCGGAAGAACACCGGUGGCGAAGGCGGCCUGCUGGGCAGUUGCUGACACUGAGGCGCGACAGCGUGGGGAGCAACAGG